GAUGAACGCUAGCUACAGGCUUAACACAUGCAAGUCGAGGGGUAGCAGGGUAGCAAUACCGCUGACGACCGGCGCACGGGUGAGUAACACGUAUCCAACCUUCCCAUAACUCGGGGAUAGCCUUUCGAACGAAAGAUUAAUACCCGAUAGUACUUAACAAAGGCAUCUUUGAUAAGUUAAAGAUUUAUUGGUUAUGGAUGGGGAUGCGUUCCAUUAGAUAGUUGGUGAGGUAACGGCUCACCAAGUCUUCGAUGGAUAGGGGUUCUGAGAGGAAGGUCCCCCACAUUGGUACUGAGACACGGACCAAACUCCUACGGGAGGCAGCAGUGAGGAAUAUUGGUCAAUGGGCGAGAGCCUGAACCAGCCAAGUAGCGUGAAGGAUGAAGGUCCUAUGGAUUGUAAACUUCUUUUAUAGUAGAAUAAAGUGAUCCACGUGUGGAUUUUUGUACGUAUACUAUGAAUAAGGAUCGGCUAACUCCGUGCCAGCAGCCGCCGCCG
This 498-nucleotide ribosomal RNA is filed under the name uncultured bacterium. RNAcentral describes it as "partial 16S ribosomal RNA". It matches the Rfam family "Bacterial small subunit ribosomal RNA", at positions 28 to 523 of the family's 1533-position model. The record is from RNAcentral.